This 382-nucleotide ribosomal RNA is filed under the name uncultured microorganism. Its description in RNAcentral is "bacterial SSU rRNA". It matches the Rfam family "Archaeal small subunit ribosomal RNA", at positions 330 to 712 of the family's 1478-position model. The record is from RNAcentral.
GUGCAGCAGGCGAGAAACCUCCGCAAUACACGAAAGUGUGACGGGGCCAUCCCGAGUGCCGUCCGCUGAGGACGGCUUUUCCCCAGUGUACACAGCUGGGGGAAUAAGGAGAGGGCAAGCCUGGUGUCAGCCGCCGCGGUAAUACCAGCUCUCCGAGUGGUGGGGACGCUUAUUGGGCCUAAAGCAUCCGUAGCCGGCUGGGCAAGUCCUCCGUUAAAUCCAACGAUUCAAUCGUUGGGCUGCGGGGGAUACUGUCCAGCUUGGGGGCGGGAGAGGCCGACGGUAUUCCCGGGGUAGGGUGAAAUCCUAUAAGUCCCCGGGAGGACCACCAGUGGCGAAGGCGUGUCGGCUAGAACGCGCCCGACGGUGAGGGAUGAAAGCU